Molecule: ribosomal RNA, 429 nt
Filed under: Bacteroidota bacterium
Lineage: Bacteria; Pseudomonadati; Bacteroidota
Description: Bacteroidetes bacterium partial 16S ribosomal RNA
Rfam family: Bacterial small subunit ribosomal RNA
Source: RNAcentral
UAGGGAAUCUUCGGCAAUGGGGGGAACCCUGACCGAGCAACGCCGCGUGAGUGAAGAAGGUUUUCGGAUCGUAAAGCUCUGUUGUUAAGGAAGAACGAGUGUGAGAAUGGAAAGUUCAUACUGUGACGGUACUUAACCAGAAAGGGAGGGCUAACUACGUGCCAGCAGCCGCGGUAAUACGUAGGUCCCGAGCGUUGUCCGGAUUUAUUGGGCGUAAAGCGAGCGCAGGCGGUUAGAUAAGUCUGAAGUUAAAGGCAGUGGCUCAACCAUUGUAGGCUUUGGAAACUGUUUAACUUGAGUGCAGAAGGGGAGAGUGGAAUUCCAUGUGUAGCGGUGAAAUGCGUAGAUAUAUGGAGGAACACCGGUGGCGAAAGCGGCUCUCUGGUCUGUAACUGACGCUGAGGCUCGAAAGCGUGGGGAGCGAACAGG